UACAGAGGUCCCGAGCGUUGUUCGGAUUCACUGGGCGUAAAGGGUGCGUAGGUGGCAGGGUAAGUUUGAUGUGAAAUCUCCGGGCUUAACCCGGAAACUGCAUUGAAUACUAUCCUGCUCGAGGGUUGGAAGGGGGACUGGAAUACUUGGUGUAGCAGUGAAAUGCGUAGAUAUCAAGUGGAACACCAGUGGCGAAGGCGAGUCCCUGGACAACUCCUGACACUGAGGCACGAAAGCUAGGGGAGCAAACAGG
RNAcentral lists this ribosomal RNA (253 nucleotides) under uncultured prokaryote. RNAcentral describes it as "partial 16S ribosomal RNA". It matches the Rfam family "Bacterial small subunit ribosomal RNA", at positions 524 to 776 of the family's 1533-position model. The record is from RNAcentral.